GCUAUCAGAAAGUUGUAUGGCAACCACCUCCGGCGCCAAAUAGAACUGGCAGACAUAGACAUUCAGUACAAGAAGAAAAAGAUGGAAAAUCUUGCACUGGAGUCCGAAAUAAAAAAGAGGACAAUUAAGAAACUGGACCUUGAAAUAAAAAAACUUGAGAGGGAGCUCCAAGAAGAUGACACAGCUCAAAAUAAAAAUUAGGUAUAUUCUCGUAAAGUCAAGUGAGCCAUGACAUAUGAGCUCUUAUUGUGAGCACACAGGACGGUGGCAUCUUUCUAAGGUUUUUUUAUUUUCCCAGCAAUCAGUACAACCAAGUCAUCGUUAUAAGGCAUCGCCCUCUUUUGCCCACCCCCCCAGCAGCAGGUGUGGCCACUAGCCUAUAUGAAGGCCCAAAAUUGUGUGUUCCUUUCUGCUCUGACAAUGGCAUGCCCAUUCGUGCGAGAUGUGGUGGAUGAAGAAGCACUUGUGCUGAGGAGAGCCUUCAGGCGAGAAAGGGUCUUCAGGGACCGGUUGGACCCACUGGCCUUCCCUGAUGACCAUCUAUAUGAAAGAUACAGGUUUUCUGCAGAUGGCAUCAGGUAUCUAUGCAGACUACUGGGUCCCAGGAUUAAGCGCCGCACUGCACAGAGCCAUGCACUGAGUGUGGAGCAAAUGGUUUGUGUGGCCUUGCGCUUUUUUGCUAGUGGAGCCUUCCUGUACUCAGUGGGGGAUGCAGAACAGCUGAACAAGGCCACAAUUUGCCGCACAAUAAGGAGUGUGUGUCUGGCUAUCAAAGCAUUAGCAGAUGUCUUCAUCUCCUUCCCUGGCCACAGAAGACUCUGUGACAUCAAAGAGGAGUUCUAUAGGAUUGCAGAUGGUCUGCAAUGCUGACUGUGUGAUCAGCAAUGUUGUGGCAAAAUGGCCUGGCUCAGUCCAUGACUCCAGAAUCUUUCGGGCCUCUGAAAUCUAUCAGUGCCUAUCACAAGGUGAAUUCUCUGGUGUGUUGCUGGGAGACAGGGGGUAUGGCUGCCAGCCUUUUCUCCUGACACCUUUCACAGACCCCAGGAAGCACAGCAGGCCUACAACCAUGCCCAUGCCAGGACCAGGGCCAGAGUUGAAAUGACCUUUGGCCUCCUGAAGGCACGCUUUCACUGCCUUCACAAAUUAAGGGUCAGCCCUGUUAGGGCAUGUGAUAUUACUGUGGCUUGCGCUGUCCUCCACAAUGUGGCCUGCCUGAGGAAGGAGAGGGCCCCCAGAGUGCCACCAGCCAUGGACUGGGACAAUCCGGCAAUCUUCCCUGAUGACGACAGUGGUCGGCUGCUGAGGGACCAAUAUGUGUUGAAUUAUUUUAGUUAGUAUGUGUGCUUUCAAUUUUGGUUAAAUAUGUCCUGCGGUGGCAGAGGAAUUUGGGUUUUUUGGGUUCGUUUUUUGACGAAUUUGGCCUCUUAUGAUGUUUGUGCGGUAUACUGUGUGUAAUACAAGGCUGCAGGGAGGCUACUGCAUCCAUUCAUUUGUCUGUUCAGUUGAUGUGUAUGGAUUUGUCCUGCAUUUAUUUGAGUGUGCAGACAUGCAGGGUGUGUUAUAUACAGACCUUUGAAUGUGUAUGUAUCAUUUUGUAUAAUAUGCUU
This is a long non-coding RNA of Oncorhynchus masou masou (cherry salmon), 1607 nucleotides long. RefSeq lists it as uncharacterized. NCBI's taxonomy places the organism in Eukaryota, Metazoa, Chordata, Actinopteri, Salmoniformes, Salmonidae. The record is from RefSeq and is a predicted model, not a curated record. The transcript has 4 exons.